Long non-coding RNA from Salvelinus namaycush (lake trout), 1270 nucleotides. RefSeq lists it as uncharacterized. The transcript has 4 exons. Lineage: Eukaryota; Metazoa; Chordata; Actinopteri; Salmoniformes; Salmonidae. The record is from RefSeq and is a predicted model, not a curated record.
ACUCAGUCAGAGUCUGCAGCAUAGCACUUCUUAGGACAGCAUAGGAACUUCUUCCAAAAGAAAGGCCAAAGAAAGCGAGCAGGUUGAGACAGCAGUGAAUGAGGUGGAGAGAGCAGAACAGCCGGAGAGUCAAAGUGCAGCAGCAGCAGCAGCAGAGUUAGCCACAGAUGAGCCAAGGAGGAUAACAGAUGAGAACAACAGGCCAGUGGAGCACUUAGAACAGCAGCAGUCAGGGGCAACUGGUAGGGAAGAGGAUGAUUUAGGUGACCCAGACAUAGGCCCAAAACAAGUUAAGCUACCCCAGUAUCCCCUUGACCAUUUUGGAUAGCGAAACUAAAGAGAUGCACCAGACAAGACACAGGCAGCAACAGAAGAGUAAAUGAUGGAGAGGGACACGAGACAAGACACAGAGAUAGCAACAGAAGAGUAGGAUAUGAUGGAGAAACACACACCAGACAAGACACAUAUAGGUAGCAACAGAAGAGUAAAUGAUGGAGAGACAAGAGGCAAGACACAGAGAUAGCAAAAGAAGAAUAGGAUAUGAUGGAGCGAGACACCAGAAGAACGGAACAGGCCAUAACAGAAGAAGGAAGACAAAGAAGACAUUAACGGCAACGGACAAGACACAGAUAAAGUGACAAGAGGGCAGAUGGAGAGAGAACAGAGGUCGGCAUGGAUCAAGGGUCUGGUGCACAUUUUCACGCACCCUCUUUCCACAGAACAAAUAACUGCAACAGAGAGGAGAGAGAUGCUGCUCAAUCUUGGUGGCACCAUACAUGGGGCGCAGGGGGUUGAUGAUGUGGUUGUUCCAGCGGAACUUCAUCCCAGUCACCUCGUCAAUGUCCGUCUCAGCAUCGAUGAAGAGCUUGUACUGUAGGUUUUAUUAGGUCUCAGGAGGCCACUUUAGGAAAGAGCAGAACAUUUUCAUUCCUUUAGUCAGUUUAGAUUGGGGCAGGGUCAGUCAGUUGUCCUAUGAAUAGAUCUUUCUGUUAUUCAAGUUCAACAGUCUUCAGAAAUCCAAAUGAUUUUAUGGGCUAUGAUGUUGACACUUACAAUUAGAAGAAUGAAAUAGAAAUGAAACAAUUGAAAACAUGUGUGUGACAUAACAUCUCAACUCGUCUAUAAGCUAGUUUAUAUCAGGAGUAGUCACAUACAGUACAUGUAAACCUGAUACUGGCGGGUGUUGCCAUGCUCUUCAUACAGAGCUAUAUGUUCAUUAUCCCUGGUUGGGAUCUUCUGCCAUCGAUGGUUACAUUUGCAUUGUAGCGGU